Molecule: ribosomal RNA, 293 nt
Filed under: uncultured bacterium
Lineage: Bacteria
Description: partial 16S ribosomal RNA
Rfam family: Archaeal small subunit ribosomal RNA
Source: RNAcentral
GUGCCAGCCGCCGCGGUAACACCAGCGCCUCGAGUGGGGAUCGCGAUUAUUGGGCCUAAAGCGUCCGUAGCAGGCCAGGUAAAUCCUUUGUGAAAUCGGCAGGCUUAACCUGCCGGCGCGCAGAGGACACUGCAGGGCUUGAGACCGGGAGAGGUCAGAAGUAUUCCUUGGGUACCGGUAAAAUGGGUUAAUCCAAGGAGGACUACCAAUGGCGAAGGCAUCUGACCAGAACGGUUCUGACUGUGAGGGACGAAAGCUAGGGGAGCAAAACGGAUUAGAAACCCUUGUAGUCC